This 72-nucleotide transfer RNA is filed under the name Ailuropoda melanoleuca (giant panda). It matches the Rfam family "tRNA". Rfam says of the family: Transfer RNA (tRNA) molecules are approximately 80 nucleotides in length. The record is from Rfam by way of RNAcentral. RNAcentral also lists the same sequence under 1 other name. Lineage: Eukaryota; Metazoa; Chordata; Mammalia; Carnivora; Ursidae.
AGCUGGCUGGCUCAGUCGGAAGAGCAUGAGACUCUUGAUCUCGGGUCGUGAGUUUGAGCCCCAUGUUGGCUG